Long non-coding RNA from Hippocampus zosterae (dwarf seahorse), 1583 nucleotides. RefSeq lists it as uncharacterized. The record is from RefSeq and is a predicted model, not a curated record. The transcript is spliced from 3 exons. Lineage: Eukaryota; Metazoa; Chordata; Actinopteri; Syngnathiformes; Syngnathidae.
GCAAUUAUAAAGAGAGGGGGAGGGGAAAAAUGCACACGGGAGCCAAUCAGAAAAGAAGCAUGCAGGAACAAGAACCUAAUACCGUUGGCACUGAUUCGAGGAGAAGGCAGAUCAUACCCGACUAAUUUAGUCCGACUGGACCCAGAAGGACAAGUGAGCAAAAUGAGAGCAGACAAAACAGAACAAACUUCUGUUGGAGAAGAGUUCGGGGAAUCAAGGCGUUACACAGACCUCUUUGUGUUUGUUCCUCAGUUGUCAUCGACAAAAAAGUACCCUUCACUCCACUGUGGUACAAAAACUGUUUCGACAUGAAAUGAUUGGUAUCCUUCAUUCUGCAUGACCUCUCAGCUGAACAGGCCGGGUUAAAAAAAAUAAAUAAGGGGACGACCCUCAGGACCUGUGCGCUGGCACGGUCAUCGUCAAAACACACGAUGAAUGAGUCAUCGGCCAAAGUACUGCAGACAUGACAGGCGACAGACGCUAGCUCCAGGGGAACAGAUCUGCUGGCAGGUUAUGGAUCAGUGGUAUUCAGUGACGUCGCUUGGUGUGAGGUGGGACCAAGGUGCUGAUCAGGUAUCCAAUUGAGUGAGAAUGUCGGGUUGAUUCUGCAGUCACGCUCUGUAUCGUUGCACGUUUAAACUUCUGAAGUUGUGAUUGGUACCUGCUAUCAGCUAAAAUCCGCCCCGUCCACUACUCAAAACAGAGUCAGGCUAUGUGUGCCUGGUACAGACUGAGUCAGUGGAAGAUUAAAACAAAAAAAAAUCCCUACAGGGCGGCUGUAUGUUUUAUAACUUUCAGCCUUUGGAGUGGGAACACAUGCAAUGUAGUUAGAAAUACUAAUAGUAAUCUAUUCAAACCUUGUUUUUACAUUUAUUUCUUUUUGUAGGGUGAAGACCUUUCCUUUAUUCCAAGGACCAGGAUGCAAUGCUCUAAAUGGGUUGGAAAAUUAAUGGUUUUAUAUGUCACAUUACAAUUCACAUAUGUCACGUUAUAUAUACGGUAGUUAUAGUUUCAUACACACCCAUUGCAUCAGAUUAACGUUUUAUAACUCCCCGUGCACACAGUCAGUCAUACCUGGACUUUGUUUUCAAAAAAACUUUAGAUUGCACAAUUUUUUACAUCACUAGUUUGGAGGUACAGUAGAUAUCUUCCAGUCUGACAUCAAUAUGGGACAGCCUUUCCCAAAAUAAACUUGAGCAUGAGUUUUUAUUGGGUCAUUCAUUAUUAAGAAUAUUAAAAUAAAUAAGCACAAUUUUCAGCAUUUUGUUUUUGCGUAAUAGUAAUGGCUGUUGUACUCUCGUUAUUUGUAUGUACUAUGUUGUGAAAAUAUUUUAAAUAUUUCUGUAUGUUUGAGUUCCUGAAGAUGAACAUUCUUAAUGUGGAUUUUGAGCAUAUUAUAUUUUCUACUUAGGUUCAUAUCAGAUGUUAAAAUGUAUCCAGUACAGUGGAAACUACCUCUUCAAGAUAUACAAACAUGUAAGACAAUGUCAUUAAAAGGGGGCAAUUAAAAUUACAUUAUAUUGAAAUACAGACUAUUCUAAAGAGAUUCAAAUUGAUCUGGGGAAAAAAAGCAUUUAGGCUGU